AGAGUUUGAUCAUGGCUCAGGACGAACGCUGGCGGCGUGCUUAACACAUGCAAGUCGAACGAGACCCCUUCUUCGGGAGGGUGUUCUAGUGGCGAACGGGUGAGUAACACGUGGGCAACCUGCCCCCGGCUCUGGGAUAACUCCAAGAAAUUGGGGCUAAUACCGGAUAUGACCGCUGACCGCAUGGUCUGGUGGUGGAAAGUUUUUCGGCUGGGGAUGGGCCCGCGGCCUAUCAGCUUGUUGGUGGGGUAGUGGCCUACCAAGGCGACGACGGGUAGCCGGCCUGAGAGGGUGACCGGCCACACUGGGACUGAGACACGGCCCAGACUCCUACGGGAGGCAGCAGUGGGGAAUAUUGCGCAAUGGGCGGAAGCCUGACGCAGCGACGCCGCGUGGGGGAUGACGGCCUUCGGGUUGUAAACCUCUUUCAGCAGGGACGAAGCGAAAGUGACGGUACCUGCAGAAGAAGCACCGGCCAACUACGUGCCAGCAGCCGCGGUAAUACGUAGGGUGCAAGCGUUGUCCGGAAUUAUUGGGCGUAAAGAGCUCGUAGGCGGUUCGUCGCGUCGGCUGUGAAAACCCGGAGCUCAACUCCGGGCCUGCAGUCGAUACGGGCGGACUUGAGUGUUGCAGGGGAGACUGGAAUUCCUGGUGUAGCGGUGAAAUGCGCGAUAUCAGGAGGAACACCGGUGGCGAAGGCGGGUCUCUGGGCAACUACUGACGCUGAGGAGCGAAAGCGUGGGGAGCGAACAGGAUUAGAUACCCUAGUAGUCC
Molecule: ribosomal RNA, 774 nt
Filed under: uncultured bacterium
Lineage: Bacteria
Description: bacterial SSU rRNA
Rfam family: Bacterial small subunit ribosomal RNA
Source: RNAcentral